Molecule: long non-coding RNA, 476 nt
Organism: Onychostoma macrolepis
Lineage: Eukaryota; Metazoa; Chordata; Actinopteri; Cypriniformes; Cyprinidae
Exons: 3
Source: RefSeq, a predicted model, not a curated record
AACAAGGUAAGUUCAAUAACAUAAUGUUUUUCAUUUGAAUUUAGCAUAAAAUCACUGUAUUUCUGAUACUGGUCUUCUGUGUUUUUUUCUGUUCUUAACUCUGUUUAUCUACAUGUUACUGUUUGAGCCCUUAUAUGGCAAGUGUGGGUCAUGUGGUAACAUUACAUUAACAAGUUAAGUUCAAAAUCCCAAAUGUUUCUUACAAUAUAAAACUAGAAAGUGUUUCAUUUGAAUACAGCAUAAAAUCACUGUAUUUCUGAUACUGGUCUGCUGUUUAUUUUCUACGCUUGACUCUCUUCAUGUACAUGUCACUGUUUGAGCCCUUACUAUGGUAAAUGUGGGUCACGUGACAACAUUACAUUAACAAGAGAAAUUUGUACCAGAUAGCAGCAGCAUUGUGACCCGGAUGAAUACACUCACAGUGGACUGUCUGUUCAACGAGGAUGACGAUACACAACUACAAAAAGAGAAGCCCC